AAGACCUUACUUCAUAGGAUCAUUUCUAUAGUAAGCUCAUUUCGAAAAUUUCACACUACGUGAAUGAUCGACUAUCAUUAUUAUUAUGUGUGUUAAGGUUUCUUCGCUGA
Molecule: non-coding RNA, 110 nt
Organism: Bombyx mori (domestic silkworm)
Lineage: Eukaryota; Metazoa; Arthropoda; Insecta; Lepidoptera; Bombycidae
Source: Rfam